UUUCGGGUCCAAACAGGCACACUCAAACUCAGCCCACAAGGAGCCGGUUGGUGUUGAGCAUUCGUGCGCUGUGCACACCAAAGGCGGCAAGCCGCCUCCCUUUCAGUACGAGAGAAGUACUGGCAACAAUAUCUUCUCCCUUGCGCGUCUGUUUGACUCCUUGGUCCGUGUUUCAAGACGGGUGGAUGCGCCCCAUCUACAGUGCCAGAAUUGAGCAAAACACAGAGAAGCAGCCCAGGCUCGCCCUUGCGGGUGCCAGGUCGCUUUAGCUCCGCUUGUCAAAACCACCAAUUCCCCCGGUUGCUGCAGUUAUUGCCCGCGCGGUAGUCAGGAAGGCCCAAUGCCCGCGCAGGAUAAUGCUUCGAGGUUGGUUCUGGCCAAAAAUGAAAUGGAGGCACGUCCAGUGUUAUUGUCACGAUUUCAGGUUCUAUGUCACUCUCUUUCCAAAGUGCUUUUCAAACUUUCGCUCACGCUACUUGUUCGCUAUCGGUCUUCCUA
Molecule: ribosomal RNA, 498 nt
Filed under: Kinetoplastida sp. LDR2000
Lineage: Eukaryota; Euglenozoa; Kinetoplastea
Description: partial 24S ribosomal RNA
Source: RNAcentral